UUCGUGCUCACAUGUCAUUCUUCUAAAAUUUGCAUAGGUUGUUCCUCGUUGGUGCUACGGAAGGCAUGACGGAUGGGCGAGUUUGGUGGAUAGGUGGCUCGGCGACGAUGCAGAGUUUGCUGCCAAGAGCAUCAAGGCCCGGGCUAACCGUGGAAAAGACGGGACACACGGCCAAGGAAACAGGAACCACUGGGGCUUCAAGGCCAUGAAGGAGGACAAGUUGAAGAGGCCGCUCUCAGACAUUGAGUCGUGGAAGCUGGCCCGCGAGCGGAGUGAUCGCAAGGAGGGCGAGAGCCAGUACUACGGCAAGACCGAGGAGCACCUGGAGUCUUACACUCA
Non-coding RNA from Aegilops tauschii subsp. strangulata, 339 nucleotides. The record is from RefSeq and is a predicted model, not a curated record. NCBI's taxonomy places the organism in Eukaryota, Viridiplantae, Streptophyta, Magnoliopsida, Poales, Poaceae.